This 3068-nucleotide long non-coding RNA is filed under the name Olea europaea (common olive). Its description in RNAcentral is "long non-coding RNA (OEUR_LNC004520)". The record is from RNAcentral. Lineage: Eukaryota; Viridiplantae; Streptophyta; Magnoliopsida; Lamiales; Oleaceae.
UUACUUCCAAUAAAAUUAGUUUUUUAGUUUACUUAAGCAAAGUUAUCCAGGCAUAUUUGAAAACAAAAGUCACUUAAAACUAAUUUCUACACUUAUUUUAUUUUAUUUUAUUAGUUUAUUAUUUUUAAAAUAAACUUUGCCAAACAAGAUCUGAUGAAAACUUGGAGAUAUAGUUUGGCGCUUGUAAUGAUUAUUAUGAGUGCAUGAAAAAAGUUGGCCAGUAUCACAGUGCUCAACUCUGUGUCAACUGUGGUAUUAUAUUUUCUUCUUAUUGGCAGGUGGACACAGCUGCAAAUGUCCAACCUGAAGAUGUAGAAGUUAUCUGGAACUUGAGAGGGAUACUGAACACCUCAUGGCACCGAGUUCAUGUUCGGGUUGGGCAUUCCAGUAUGUAGACAAAGCAGUCGGAUCUAACAUCCUGCACUGUCGGGGACUGGUUUAGAUGUGGAUAACAUGUAAUUUAUCGUGUUUUUAGGAAGUUUAUACGAUCAUCUGUACAAUAUUAUAUUUCCCAGUUUCCAAACGUGUGAAAGAAAUUAUGUUCUGUUCUUUAAAGAUUUCGCUGGAAUUUUUUGAGCUGUUUUGGUAAAAUGGGAUUCCUAUAGUGAGAGAUGACAUCCCUUUUAACGUAUUUCUAUAUCAAAUAUGUCAAUAAGGACACCUCUUUAUGUUAAUGUGACGAUAUCUUAGAAUUGAAGAAAUAGUGCAAACUUGAAAAUUUUACCCAGAUCUCAAGACCAGAAAUUUCUAGUUCUAUGUCACCAAAGAUACUUAUUAUCUAUGGCGUUACACAUCAGUAAUCUCUUUGAAUGAGGGCAAAUCUCUACAAUGAUUGUAACGAGACAAUAAAAGAUUGAUAACAGCCCCUUCAAGAGAUUACCAAAAGCAAUCCUAUGAAAGUUUGCUAAACAAAUGUAUGCUCAUUCUUCAAAUAAAUUUCCUCUUAAUUCAGGUAAAUAAUUGAAAUGUAAGCUCAGGCUUCCACAUAUUCCAUUUAAAGCAGCUUGCAGAACUGAGACGUGUUUUGUGCAUCAUCUUUCAAAAUUUAAAUACGUUUUACUUUUGAGAAAUGCUACUUUUAUAGGUUGUUUUAACAUAUGUAGUUACAGAAUGUUGAAUUGGCAAAAUUUCAAACAUUUUGUACAAAAAAAGAAAAAGAUAAAAAAGAUUAAAUCAGCCAAUGAAAUCUUGCCAGCUCAGCACCUGUAACUCUAUUUGUUAAAAAAAUCUAUACAAGUAACAUUUUUCCUUUAUUUUUUGGACCAUGCUAGAUGUACCUAAUUUUUUUUACCUAAUGCUUUUCAUACACUCACAAUAGAGAUGUCGGGGCCACAUGUUAGGAUUAUUUUAUUCACGCGAGUCCACGUGCUUGUGAGAGUAGGUAAACCAUUUGGUAAAUCAAAUUAUAUACACUUAGAAUUAUCCUUAAUUUUUUUGUCCUAUCGUGUCCAACAUAACAAAUAUGUCACAAGAAAAUAAUCUGGAUGGAGAAACCAAUACCAACCUUCGUAGCCUACUCCACUAGCUCAAUCAGCAUGCAGCAAUAUGAGGUUGCUAAUGAAGACACCAACUCAAGGUCCUCGUUACAAUGCUAAGUACCUGACUCUGCUUAUUUAGUAAAAUUCUAAAUCAAUAGACCUUUGUGUCCAAAAAUUUGAGCACCAUAUCUCAGAUUCUAAAGAAAAGGGACGUGAGAUCAAAUUUUUUAGUGCAAAAGCAAAUAGAUCGAAGAUGAAGCAUAUCCAUAAAAUAAAUAGUACAAUCAUCUAGCAAGAUCUCGAGUGUUUCACUUUAGGCUGGCAUCUACACAAUGACAUACAAUACAACAUUUGACCAGUCAAACAACAGCACUUAAAAGCUAGAACUGCUUUUGCACAUUGGCAAAGAUAAAUAAAUCUGUAAUGCAAAUUUGUCUGACAACCAGAAACAGCAAGUGAAACGACAGUGCUGAAUGACCAGAUAUACUAUCUGCUUCUUUUACAAGGAUUCAUGGUUCAUUACCACUGAAAAAUGCAAAUACCAGUCACAAAAAAGCUGUGCAGAUGUUCAACGAACAGUAAGUGAUAGAAGCAACUGCAUACUAGUUUUAGCAGCUCUAGUGUUUCAGCCUACUUGGCCUCCAGAAGCAUCUGCAGGCUGUUUACAGUUCAAAUAUCGAUAAAAGCUUUAGGGUUCCUGCCUACUCGUGUUUCCAGGAGCAUCUGUAGGUGGUUUACGAUUCAGAUAGCGUAUAACAGCAUCUUCCACCCUGUCAAGAAGAUACUCUGAUUUCAGUAACAAGUCCAGGAUUAUGGGGAUAUGAUAGGAAGUAAGUUUAACUCUAAAAUGGAAGCAGCUGAUAUCUCAUGUAGAAAACAUAACCUACCAAAUACCAAUACUUUCCUAUUUCCUUCGUAUUGAAUACAAGAGUCACUUAAAACUAAUUUCUACACUUAUUUUAUUUUAUUUUAUUAGUUUAUUAUUUUUAAAAUAAACUUUGCCAAACAAGAUCUGAUGAAAACUUGGAGAUAUAGUUUGGCGCUUGUAAUGAUUAUUAUGAGUGCAUGAAAAAAGUUGGCCAGUAUCACAGUGCUCAACUCUGUGUCAACUGUGGUAUUAUAUUUUCUUCUUAUUGGCAGGUGGACACAGCUGCAAAUGUCCAACCUGAAGAUGUAGAAGUUAUCUGGAACUUGAGAGGGAUACUGAACACCUCAUGGCACCGAGUUCAUGUUCGGGUUGGGCAUUCCAGUAUGUAGACAAAGCAGUCGGAUCUAACAUCCUGCACUGUCGGGGACUGGUUUAGAUGUGGAUAACAUGUAAUUUAUCGUGUUUUUAGGAAGUUUAUACGAUCAUCUGUACAAUAUUAUAUUUCCCAGUUUCCAAACGUGUGAAAGAAAUUAUGUUCUGUUCUUUAAAGAUUUCGCUGGAAUUUUUUGAGCUGUUUUGGUAAAAUGGGAUUCCUAUAGUGAGAGAUGACAUCCCUUUUAACGUAUUUCUAUAUCAAAUAUGUCAAUAAGGACACCUCUUUAUGUUAAUGUGACGAUAUCUUAGAAUUGAAGAAAUAGUGCAAACUUGAAAAUUUUACCCAG